Gallus gallus (chicken) is the source of this 2776-nucleotide long non-coding RNA. Lineage: Eukaryota; Metazoa; Chordata; Aves; Galliformes; Phasianidae. The record is from Ensembl.
GAGGAAGGAUCUCUCUGGAGAUCACUCGUCUUGGAGACCUUUUGGUGAGCCCAGGUUAUGGACAACAUCCAGGGGAAAGAAUAUGCUCUUUUAAAUAGAUUCUCCAGUUUGGAACUUCAAGUGAUCUAGAAAGUCAUUGAAAAGACUUUGUGCUGCGCCCCUCAGAAUGAGAUGUUUCCUCUUUUCAUAUCUGUAAUGAUUCAGACCUUCCCCUUUGAAGGCAUGUCCCACUGGCUCUGAUUUUCCUUCAGUAGACAUUAAGGGCAGGAUCCAAUUAAGGAAGCUAAAGGAGUGGAGAGCUUUUUUUGCCGGAGGAAACUGUCUUUGAUGAAGUUUGUAUGGACAGUGACUAAAGCUGCAUCUUGCUCCUGAAAUAAAGACAUCUGUCUGGACAAUAAUCCAAGGAUUGAGGAAAGCCAUUGAUGCUCACCACCACUGUGGAACAUCAUAGCAUCUGCAGACUAUAGCUGGUACUCAUCAGAAGGAAAAAAAGAAGGAAGGACACAAAUUGUCUAAUAAGUUUACUACUAUGUGCAGGAGAACCAGUGCAACACAAAAAAAAACAGGUAUUUAUAGACAUUGAUCAGAUCCCCCUCUGAGCCUUCUCAUAUCUAGGAUGUUCAGUUCUGGCGCUCUCAACCUCUCCUCACAGAAGAGCUACACCAGACCCUUCAUUUUACUUGCUCUUUGCUGGAGUCUCAGUACCUCCAGGCCUCCUGGGGAGCCCAGUGUUUAACAGAGAAGGAUGACCACUCAUGCUGCUGGCAACCCUUGGCCUAAUACAGCUAAGAAUGCCAUUAACUUUUUUUCUUUCAGCCAUGAAUAUUGUUAUGCAUAUAAACUAUUUUUGAAAGAGUCUUUUUGGAAAAUGUCUUCAUGCUUCAGGACACAGGUCAAACUCUUAACAAAUGAGACUUAUAAACUUUUCUCCUCUACCAGUUAUGCUAGAUGACUUUAUUUCUGGGUUUUUGCACUUUAUGCUUUUCUGAUGUGGUGCUUCCAGUCCGUUUGUCAUUAGAACACCGUUAACUAUUCUGAUGGCCACAGUACAUCUUUGUGAUGAAAGAAAUGUCUAUAGAGGUUUAUCUGAGUUUCUGAAUAUCUGACAAGACUAGGGAUCAAUAUGAAUUUGUUAUCUUACUAUGAAGACCUCAAAACUGUGUGAAUGGGAAAGCCAUAGUACGAUGACUGAAUGCCAUUUACAAUAUUCUAUUUUCUAGUCUUUUUCUCUGGACAGAAACAAAACAAAAUCAAACCUAAUCAAAACCUAACGUAGUGAACUAGAAGCAAUCACUUGUCCACUGCAUGCAGCACACUAGCUAAAGAAAGCAAAUCAUGAUCUCUAAAUUAGUGUUGACCUAUGCCAGUUGGUCUAGAGUACACAGUGAAAGGGCACAAACAAAUAGCAGAUGUGAUGUGGAAGCAGGAAAAUUGUUGCUGUAUGAGCUCCAGUGUGGCACCAUGUGGUCACGGGAAUGUUGCUUUUGAACCAUCAUCAUUCCUUUAGGGCUAACAUAUAGUGAACAAUUUUGAUAUGUCUUUCAGCCACAGUGUAUGCUAUAAGAAAUAAAAAUGAUAUGUGGGGAGCAGUGAACCCUCCACUGUCUAGUGACUGUAUUAUUUCAGCUGGAUGACUGAGGCUAACACUGGUUAAAGAGACAUAAGUGUUCUUUUCAUUUUUGUUUCUUCAUGAAGGAGAGGAAAGCUUUAUUCAUUAACUGAUUUAGAGACUUGAGAUCAUGAAUGUCCAAAACCAAUCUCACCUAAUAAUGGCAUUGUCUUUUAGAAGAGAACUAUCCACAGAGCUUUCACGCAUGUUUAAAUGCAGACAGUGUGUAUGACAGUAACAUAUCUUGAGUAGCUCUUCCAAAUUCCAAUUCAGUGUGCAAGACAGUAUCUGUUGCCUCCUAGGAGGGCCUGUGUCUUCACACAAGUUUAAGGGCAUUUGGAAGGCGCUCAGAUAAUGCGAUGAUACUUAAAUAGAUAGACAUAGUGUAUUUCAGCCAGUAAAUGACAGUAGAGAUUUAAGUAUUCAGAAUGUAAUUAUCAGAGCUGGAAUUUGGCCAGGACAUUAACUGAGUUAAUGCUCUUAUUUUACUGAAGUACAGUGAGAUUUCUGAUUAUCUGAAGAGGCUUAUAUCUCUUAUGACAAAUGUCAUGUGUGGUAUUGCUGUACAGAGUUGUUUACAUGCAGGGCAACAUUUGUAUUGAUACUUCCUUGAAACCCAUGUGCUAUCACCUCCUUGAUGUUACAUGACUGCACAGUGACAGCUUGGUGGGGAGCUGGAAUCCGGCCUUGUGAAAUCUUCAUCUGUGAGGAGCACAGAAUGGGACCCUAGUUGUAAACCAUCUGAAUUAAUUCCAGUUUACAGAAUAUAAUGUAAGACUAAAUAUGUAUUUCUGCUUUUAAGCCUUACAAACUAAUCUAAUAAAAAAAUUACUACUUUUUAGAUUUUUUCUUUUUUUCUAAUGAGAAAAUAUUUAAGUUUAUAAUAUUCUACAGUUGUUUGUAUGUUCUAGCCAUAUGAUAUGUUACCUUGUAAUGAAAAAGAUGUUCCUUAGUCUAUUAAACUAUUGCUUUCCAGACUCAAAAACAAAAUAAAUCUUUGAAAUAUCACCUCAUGCUUUGAAGGAACGUAUUGUAGAAAUCAUGUAAAUGUGUCAUAGUAUUGAACAAUUUAAGUGAUGCAGCGAAAUUAGAAAUAAACGGUGACUAUUAUACAAGAACAAAUACUAAAAUAUUGCCUCUGUGCUUUAGCACUUUUUUUCUCAUGGU